This 241-nucleotide ribosomal RNA is filed under the name uncultured bacterium. RNAcentral describes it as "partial 16S ribosomal RNA". It matches the Rfam family "Bacterial small subunit ribosomal RNA", at positions 92 to 334 of the family's 1533-position model. The record is from RNAcentral.
CGACCGGCGCACGGGUGAGUAACGCGUAUGUAAUCUACCUGUAACAGAGGGAUAACCCGGAGAAAUCCGGACUAAUACCUCAUAGCACAUAUUAUUCGCAUGAAUUUUAUGUUAAAGAGACUCGGUUACAGAUGAACAUGCGUUCCAUUAGCUAGUUGGCGGGGUUACGGCCCACCAAGGUAACGAUGGAUAGGGGUUCUGAGAGGAAGGUCCCCCACACUGGUACUGAGACACGGACCAG